CACUCCAUGUUUCUCUUCAGAUCGUUAAAUCUUUCGCCUUUUACUAAAGUUGUUCGUGGAGAGGAACAAUAUGAGUUCAACUUAAUUUUUUGAUGUCCCUGCCUAGUGCGGGGCU
Larimichthys crocea (large yellow croaker) is the source of this 115-nucleotide small nuclear RNA. Its record names the gene U5. It matches the Rfam family "U5 spliceosomal RNA". Rfam says of the family: U5 RNA is a component of both types of known spliceosome. The precise function of this molecule is unknown, though it is known that the 5' loop is required for splice site selection and p220 binding, and that both the 3' stem-loop and the Sm site are important for Sm protein binding and cap methylation. The record is from Ensembl. Lineage: Eukaryota; Metazoa; Chordata; Actinopteri; Sciaenidae.